Molecule: ribosomal RNA, 491 nt
Filed under: uncultured Cystobacterineae bacterium
Lineage: Bacteria; Pseudomonadati; Myxococcota; Myxococcia; Myxococcales
Description: bacterial SSU rRNA
Rfam family: Bacterial small subunit ribosomal RNA
Source: RNAcentral
CCCGCUCAGAAACUUAAAUGAAUUGACGGGGCCCGCACAAGCGGUGGAGCAUGUGGUUUAAUUCGAUGAUACGCGAGGAACCUUACCUGGGCUCAAAUGUAUGUUGACGUAUUCUGAAAGGGAUACUUCUUCGGACAAUAUACAAGGUGCUGCAUGGUUGUCGUCAGCUCGUGCCGUGAGGUGUCGGGUUAAGUCCCAUAACGAGCGCAACCCCUAUCAUUAGUUGCCAUCAGGUCAAGCUGGGGACUCUAAUGAAACUGCCUACGCAAGUAGUGAGGAAGGUGGGGAUGACGUCAAGUCCUCAUGGCCUUUAUGACCAGGGCUACACACGUACUACAAUGGCCGAUACAAAGGGCAGCGACACUGCGAGGUGAAGCCAAUCCCGUAAAAUCGGUCUCAGUCCGGAUUGGAGUCUGCAACUCGACUCCAUGAAGUUGGAAUCGCUAGUAAUCGUGGAUCAGCAUGCCACGGUGAAUACGUUCCCGGGCCUU